UACGUAGGGUGCGAGCGUUUGUCCGGAAUUAUUGGGCGUAAAGAGCUCGUAGGCGGUUUGUUGCGUCGGCCGUGAAAACUUCACGCUUAACGUGGAGCUUGCGGUCGAUACGGGCAGACUUGAGUUCGGUAGGGGAGACUGGAAUUCCUGGUGUAGCGGUGAAAUGCGCAGAUAUCAGGAGGAACACCGGUGGCGAAGGCGG
This 202-nucleotide ribosomal RNA is filed under the name uncultured bacterium. RNAcentral's name for it is "partial 16S ribosomal RNA". It matches the Rfam family "Bacterial small subunit ribosomal RNA", at positions 524 to 724 of the family's 1533-position model. The record is from RNAcentral.